UUGGAUUUUUAACCAGUCAGCCUUUUCUUCAAGCCACUGGGUUUGCUCAAAAACGGAAAACAUCUAAGCCAACAUUUCUUGUGACGAAUUUUCUUUCCUAUGUGACAGAUGAGUUUUGAUUUCCAAAGGGAAUCGUUAAGUGUCAGGUACAUGUUUAAAUCACUUUUAUUCCUUGCUUUCUUACAUUGUUUUUGUGACUUCUAUUAUUGAUGUUAUAAUAGAAGUGAAAAGGGAUGACUAAGGAAAAACGGGGGGUAACGAAGGGGAUUAAAAUAUAAUGGCAUCUAAAAAUUACACAUUGGGAAGUCCUGAAAAAUAGUGCCUCUAACAUGUGUAUCUGGCAUCAGCCUCACCUAGUUGCCGGUAAGUCAGGUUACACUUGACCUCACCGGCUUCACGCAACUAGGCUCCCGAGGAGAGAACGGGGACUGGACAUGAGGGAGGGCAUAUAAGAAAUGGGCACAGUCUCCGUCAUCUUUGCCUUUUAAUAUAAGAUUUGGUUUCAUCAUUUCUGAGUGUAACAUAUUUCUUCUAAAAAUAGAGCUCUCUGCUUGUCUGAAACUUCUUAGCGUUCACUGGGAGGUGAAGGGGAAUAAGGCUGACCGUAAUUCUGGGGUGACGUUGCCAGUUUCAUAGUCAUAGAUAAAC
RNAcentral lists this long non-coding RNA (648 nucleotides) under Homo sapiens (human). RNAcentral describes it as "HSALNT0245353". Lineage: Eukaryota; Metazoa; Chordata; Mammalia; Primates; Hominidae. The record is from RNAcentral.